AACUGCUGAAAGAUGGACCACAAGUCAAAUAAUGUCUAUUUGCUUUGGGUGUUGCACCCUUUUUUCCAAGAAUCCAUCCUUUUGCUUUACAGUGCUUUCUAUUUUUAAGGAUCAAGGUUGAGAAACUGCUUUUAAUGGAAAAGUUACAGUCCAUUGAAUAAUUGCUUAAGGAUAACUUCUUAAAUAUCCAGAGGGCUUCCACUGAAUGCAAAUUACUUCCUGAGUGUGUCAGUAAUACCUUAACAGCCUCAUCAAUUUCUUACUGGUAAACCAGGAAUGCUGGAUUCAGUAUUUAUGGAAAUGCACAACUUCUAUUGCUAAGCUACUCAACAACCUCUUUGUACAUCCCUUCAAAAUUUACAGACAGCUGGAUUUGUUUUCUUAAAGCUGAAGAAUUUGGUGAAGAGUGGUUUAGUUUAAUUCAUAUUCUUUCAGUGUGUUCAGUACUUUGGCUGUCAUUUUCUAGUGUUCAGUCUUUAAGGAAUAGGCCAUAUUGUGUCAACAUUAUUUUGUUGAUAUGAGACCUGUGGUCACUGCUCUUAACCCUCCAAAAAUCUGUAAGAAGAAGGGCUGAAUCCAGUCUCGCUUUUAAAAUAUUUGAGAUUGAAUGCUUUAUUGUCAUUAGUGGCUACUUGUAUUUAAAAAAAAAUAGCUUUUGGAGGUGGAUUCUUUUAUUUUAGACAAUCCCAAUGAAUAUUUUCAGUGUUUUGUGUAUGCUUGCAUAUGGCUAAUAUGCUGCUCUUGAGCAAUCUUGAAGAACAUCUAUUAAUAUAUUUUAUAAACCUCUCUCUCUCAAAUUGUUACUAAGGUAUCUUUCUGUCUAAUCUUCUCCUUAUUUUUAAAUGAAAACCUCACCAGAUAAAUGCUUCUGAUUUUUGGUAUUGCUAGAACUUCCUCUGAGGUGUUUUUUUUAAUUCUAUCUCCAGUGAAAAGACAUGGAGAAACCUCCUGAUUUAACAUGUAGAACUGUGUAGUCUAAACUUCACGUCUGCUGGUACAGUAUGGAUGAUGCCAUUGUAGGUGAAAUUUCAGGACUAUGCCAUUAGAUUAAUACUCUUUUUAUAGCUUUAUGCAUUUUGCUGUGAUUGACAGUACAUCAGUUGUGUGAGAAAUGAAUGCUGUUUGGAUAAAUGUACUGUAGUAAGUGGUGUUACAGCCCAACUGAUGGGGCUCUUGCUGAUGCUCAUAAUGUCAGCUCCUCUAUAUGCUGGUGCUUCACAAUGAAUCUCUUAACUUCAGAUUGCCCUUCUUAUAAAAAUCCUAGUAGAUACUGUAAACAGUAAUGGGACUUGCGCAUUUCAUCACAAGAGACACUUCACUGUUCUAGAAAAAAAAUCAAUGUUUGUUUACUUUUAAUUAAGAUCUUCUUUAAAAUGUCUGUAACUCAAAAGUUUAGUUGUUCCAGUGAUAGCUACUUUAUUUUGAAGGUAAGCAGAAAAUGAUUUAAAAGUAUAUUCACAGAACCGAGAUGGUAAACAAGCAGUGUCUGUAUCUGAACUCCAAAGUGAUCUUUGACAUCUUUCUUUUGUCUUGUAUGCUUUUCUUUCUUAAAGUUGUCAUAGUUUGUUGUGGUUGAUUCUUGGCCUCUGUUAGCAUUGAUUCCUGUUCUAGGAUGUUCAUUUUGAGGUCAGCUGUUGCUGCAUAUGCUGUUUAGGAAGUUUCUGUUUCUUGAAUGUGAGGGAGAACCCCUGUCAAAAGUGCUUCUGAGAAAAGUGUUAUCUUUCCUUUCUUUGCUUCUGAGAAAAGUGUUAUCUUUGCUUCUUUUGCUACCUUGGCCGCAGGUUAACAAAGCAAGCACAAAUAUAUUCAUCUGGUACAUUGACAUUUGGUUUUGUUUGUUAAUGAAUCUGUGAUGAUGCUACGUCAAGAGGGAGCUGAAUAUGCCUUAGCUUGUUAAUUUGCCUAUUAAAUUUCAGUAUUCCACUAGUUAAGUAUUUUACUCUAUUUUUUUUUUUUACCUUUUUCCGGGACUCUUCUUAAUAUUUCUUUUUCAUUUUUAUUUAUACUAUUCUAUAGGUCAUCUUUUGUCUGAGUGCAAGAAACCUGAACGUGCGAACCUGACAGAUAGUGUAAAUGUUCUUUGUACAUUCUUGUGCAGAGUGUAAAAUAAACAUACUGGUUAAUUCAACCUUGAUGAUGAUUUGUGGUUUAAGUCAAAACUCAAAAUUAAAAAAUGGAGAGAUAGAUGUGCCUAUCUUAUUUUCAUAAGGUUUGGGGAAAUAUUUUUUUUUUUCCCCACUGUAAACUUCAACUGACUCAAGAGGAACCUUGACAGGCGGUAUGAAAGUGAGGUUAAGUCUCCAAAGCCAGAAUGAUUUCAAGAAUGCAUACUCAGAAAUCACACUUCGCACUUACAAGUAUCCUGAAAUAUUGGAAAUCUUCUGUUCAUCCUUCAGUCCAAAGAAAACAAUUGAAAAGAGAUUGCCCAUGUGAUAGCUGGGUUUUUGCUUCGCCUGUCAAAAGCCUCUGUUCAUGAGAACUGAACUAACUAGCGAGACACGGAAUUCCUUGCUCUGCUGCCGUGAGCCAUUGGCAGAAUCCAGCAAAUGG
Molecule: long non-coding RNA, 2550 nt
Organism: Pseudopipra pipra
Lineage: Eukaryota; Metazoa; Chordata; Aves; Passeriformes; Pipridae
Exons: 2
Source: RefSeq, a predicted model, not a curated record